GGUGAACGCUGGCGGUAGGCCUAACACAUGCAAGUCGAACGGCAGCACAGUAAGAGCUUGCUCUUACGGGUGGCGAGUGGCGGACGGGUGAGGAAUACAUCGGAAUCUACUUUUUCGUGGGGGAUAACGUAGGGAAACUUACGCUAAUACCGCAUACGACCUACGGGUGAAAGCAGGGGAUCUUCGGACCUUGCGCGAUUGAAUGAGCCGAUGUCGGAUUAGCUAGUUGGCGGGGUAAAGGCCCACCAAGGCGACGAUCCGUAGCUGGUCUGAGAGGAUGAUCAGCCACACUGGAACUGAGACACGGUCCAGACUCCUACGGGAGGCAGCAGUGGGGAAUAUUGGACAAUGGGCGCAAGCCUGAUCCAGCCAUACCGCGUAGGUGAAGAAGGCCUUCGGGUUGUAAAGCCCUUUUGUUGGGAAAGAAAAGCGGCAGGUUAAUACCCCGCUGUUCUGACGGUACCCAAAGAAUAAGCACCGGCUAACUUCGUG
This 492-nucleotide ribosomal RNA is filed under the name uncultured bacterium. Its description in RNAcentral is "partial 16S ribosomal RNA". It matches the Rfam family "Bacterial small subunit ribosomal RNA", at positions 28 to 507 of the family's 1533-position model. The record is from RNAcentral.